ACCCGUUUGACCUGCAGCAAAUUUUCUUCCUUUCUUUGGGAAAUUGUCCUGAAUCAUUCCCCAAAUGAGAAGGGGCUUAAUGGAUGCAGUUUGCAGAGCCCUGAGACACAGCUGCCUCUGGGAUGGGAUGGGGUGGCCAUUCUCUGCUGGCAAGGAAGGGGACAGGAGGAAAAAGUCCGCAGUGGAGACUGUCCAGCACAAGGUUACACAGUCCUGGCUACUGCUACCCCCAGCUGCCAGUCACCUGCCUGCCCCUGCUUCUGCCUCCUCCCCACUGCCAGGAAGUUUUCCUGCUCCACACUCCCCUCACCUGUGAAUUGAGUGGAGCUUUUCAUUGAUCUGUCUACAGCAACAUGCAGAUCCCGUUCUUGGGUUGUGUAGCCGAUAAUCUGUUCUGCCACCAUCGCUAGGUGUAAUGCAUGUUCAGUAGGGAUUUCUCCCCUCUUCCCUUUUUGUAUUUCCUCUCCCUACUAGUGUUGGGGUGUCCUUCUCCUCAGGUUAGUGUAUUAAUGAUCUCAUCUUGGGGUCAUAUGUGUCAAUUCAUUGCUACAGAGAACUAUCCAUGAUGACUCCAAGAUCUCUUUCCUGAUUAGUUGUAGCUAAAUUAGCCCCCAUCAUAUUGUAUGUAUAGUUGGGGUUAUGUUUUUCCAACGUGACAUUUAUCCACCUUAAAUUUCAUUUGCCAUUUUGUUGCCCAA
This is a long non-coding RNA of Gopherus flavomarginatus (Mexican gopher tortoise), 698 nucleotides long. RefSeq lists it as uncharacterized. The transcript has 2 exons. The record is from RefSeq and is a predicted model, not a curated record. NCBI's taxonomy places the organism in Eukaryota, Metazoa, Chordata, Testudines, Testudinidae.